CUUCAACGUUAACCUUACACUAGAACAUUCCAGGAAAGAUUAAAAAAGAAAGAAGGAACUCGGCAAAUUUUAGCCCCGCCUGUUUACCAAAAACAUCGCCUCUUGACACAAUAUAAGAGGUCUAGCCUGCCCAGUGACAGAGUUUAACGGCUACGGUAUCCCUGACCGUACGAAGGUAGCAUAAUCACUUGUCCCUUAAAUAGGGGCCUGUAUCAACGGCAUCACGAGGGCUGCACUGUCUCCUCUCUUCAAUCAGUGAAACUGAUCCUCCCGUGAAGAAGCGGGAAUUCAUUUAUAAGACGAGAAGACCCCAUGGAGCUUUAAGCAAGCUCUCACACUAUAUCAACACAUCUUUUAACUACAAGCUCUGAGUGCAAGUUUUAGGUUGGGGGGACCGCGGAGAACAACUAAACCUCCGUGACAAAUAGCCCUAAGCCCUUAUCUACGAGCAACAGCUCUAAGAAUCAGUACACUGAUGAUUAUGACCCGAUACUAUUCGACCAACGAACCAAGUUACCCUGGGGAUAACAGCGCAAUCUACUUCGAGAGCCCAUAUCGACAAGUAGGUUUACGACCUCGAUGUUGG
RNAcentral lists this ribosomal RNA (586 nucleotides) under Amnirana asperrima. RNAcentral describes it as "partial 16S ribosomal RNA". It matches the Rfam family "Bacterial large subunit ribosomal RNA", at positions 1641 to 2535 of the family's 2925-position model. The record is from RNAcentral. Lineage: Eukaryota; Metazoa; Chordata; Amphibia; Anura; Ranidae.